RNAcentral lists this ribosomal RNA (301 nucleotides) under uncultured bacterium. RNAcentral's name for it is "partial 16S ribosomal RNA". It matches the Rfam family "Bacterial small subunit ribosomal RNA", at positions 509 to 807 of the family's 1533-position model. The record is from RNAcentral.
CAGUCGCCACGGGAAUACGGAGGGCGCGAGCGUUACCCGGAUUUACUGGGCGUAAAGGGCGUGUAGGCGGCCUGGGGCGUCCCAUGUGAAAGGCCACGGCUCAACCGUGGAGGAGCGUGGGAUACGCUCAGGCUAGAGGGUGGGAGAGGGUGGUGGAAUUCCCGGAGUAGCGGUGUAAUGCGCAGAUACCGGGAGGAACGCCGAUGGCGAAGGCAGCCACCUGGUCCACUUCUGACGCUGAGGCGCGAAAGCGUGGGGAGCAAACCGGAUUAGAUACCCCUGUAGUCCCUGUCUCUUAUAC